GCUACAGGCUUAACACAUGCAAGUCGAGGGGCAUCAGGAUGUAGCAAUACAUUGCUGGCGACCGGCGCACGGGUGAGUAACACGUAUCCAACCUGCCUUUUACUCGGGGAUAGGCUUUCGAAAGAAAGAUUAAUACCCGAUGGUAUAAUAUUUCCGCAUGGGAUUAUUAUUAAAGAAUUUCGGUAAAAGAUGGGGAUGCGUUCCAUUAGGCAGUUGGCGGGGUAACGGCCCACCAAACCUUCGAUGGAUAGGGGUUCUGAGAGGAAGGUCCCCCACAUUGGAACUGAGACACGGUCCAAACUCCUACGGGAGGCAGCAGUGAGGAAUAUUGGUCAAUGGGCGAAAGCCUGAACCAGCCAAGUAGCGUGAAGGAUGACUGCCCUAUGGGUUGUAAACUUCUUUUAUAGGGGAAUAAAAUGAGCCACGUGUGGCUUUUUGUAUGUACCCUAUGAAUAAGCUCCGGCUAACUACGUGCCAGCAGCCGCGGUAAUACGUAGGGAGCAAGCGUUAUCCGGAUUUAUUGGGUGUAAAGGGUGCGUAGACGGGAAUGCAAGUUGGUUGUGAAAUCCCUCGGCUCAACCGAGGAAUUGCAACCAAAACUAUAUUUCUUGAGUGCUAGAGAGGAAAGUGGAAUUCCUAGUGUAGCGGUGAAAUGCGUAGAUAUUAGGAGGAACACCAGUGGCGAAGGCGACUUUCUGGACAGUAACUGACGUUGAGGCACGAAAGUGUGGGGAGCAAACAGGAUUAGAUACCCUGGUAGUCCACACCGUAAACGAUGGAUACUAGGUGUAGGGGAUGAAUAAUCUUCUGUGCCGUCGCAAACGCAGUAAGUAUCCCACCUGGGGAGUACGGCCGCAAGGUUGAAACUCAAAGGAAUUGACGGGGGCCCGCACAAGCAGUGGAGUAUGUGGUUUAAUUCGACGCAACGCGAAGAACCUUACCAGGGCUUGACAUAUACAUGAAAAUCUAAGAGAUUAGAUCCCUCUUCGGAGCAUGUAUACAGGUGGUGCAUGGUUGUCGUCAGCUCGUGUCGUGAGAUGUUGGGUUAAGUCCCGCAACGAGCGCAACCCCUGUUCUUAGUUGCCAGCAUGUAAAGAUGGGAACUCUAAGAAGACUGCCGGUGAUAAAUCGGAGGAAGGUGGGGACGACGUCAAAUCAUCAUGCCCUUUAUGUCCUGGGCUACACACGUACUACAAUGGCUGUAACAAAGGGAAGCGAACCCGCGAGGGGAAGCAAAACCCAUAAAAGCAGUCUCAGUUCGGAUUGAAGGCUGAAAUUCGCCUUCAUGAAGCCGGAAUUGCUAGUAAUGGCAGGUCAGCAUACUGCCGUGAAUACGUUCCCGGGCCUUGUACACACCGCCCGUCACACCAUGAGAGUUGGGGAUACCCGAAGCCUGUGAGCUAACUGUAAAGAGGCAGCAGUCGAAGGUAGAAUCAAUGAUUGGGG
This 1446-nucleotide ribosomal RNA is filed under the name uncultured organism. Its description in RNAcentral is "SSU rRNA". It matches the Rfam family "Bacterial small subunit ribosomal RNA". The record is from RNAcentral.